Molecule: long non-coding RNA, 1860 nt
Organism: Triticum dicoccoides
Lineage: Eukaryota; Viridiplantae; Streptophyta; Magnoliopsida; Poales; Poaceae
Exons: 3
Source: RefSeq, a predicted model, not a curated record
CGCCAAGAUGGACCCUCAAAUCUUUACUAUGUCUUCGGACCACUUUUGUCAGGAACUUAUAUAUGUCCGCUUCGCAGUUCAAAUAUAUGGAUUCCGGUAUGCAAGAGACAAACGUGGGGGGCUUUGUCGGAGUUCGGACAUACACUUCACCAAUCACAUGCACAGUUCCUCUCUUCUCUCUCUCCACCCAACCGCACAUGCAUGGCCCCCCAAUCCUCUCUCUUCUUCCAAUCGGACACUUAGCCACAAAUAUCUCACCACAUGCAUGGUCCUCACGUACUUUUUUCCUCCCAACUGGAUACUUUGUGAUUAGCAUUGGAUGGCUCACCCGCAUCAUGUCCGCGAACCACGUCCAGACAUAAAAAUGGACAUAUGCCAGAGAUAUUUGCCGGUCAGAGGCAUUCAUGGUUUAUUGUUAGAUGGCAGAAGAUUAAGAGACAAACAUGUUAUAGCUUAUGUUACAUACCAUGUCACUAUAAAGGUUCCUGACAAAAGUGGUCCUAGGCGUACUCUCGAACCUCGAUCGAUGGACUUCUGAGAUCAAACACUACUCCUAAAAGAACUUGCAAGAAUUAGAUGUCCAUGAAUGCAGCACCAAGGAGCUAGUAUAACAGUCCAGGGGGUUAGUGGAAACCAUUCUGAAGAUCGUACUGCAUUAUGGAGACUUACAGAAGGUAAUGACAACUACUUCCUUGUUCGUGUCCCAUGUCACUUCCCAGAUCCCGCCAUUGCCCUUGUUUUUUCCAUGCAUAAGGGCAUCGCCAAGAUGGACCCUCAAAUCUUACUAUGUCUUCGGACCACUUUUGUCAGGAACCUAUAUAUGUCCCUUCGCAGUUCAAAUGUAUGGAUUCCGGUAUGCAAGAGACAAACGUGGGGGGCUUUGUCAGAGUUUGGACAUACACUUCACCAAUCACAUGCACAGUUCCUCUCUUCUCUCUCUCCACCCAACCGCACAUGCAUGACCCCCCACUCCUCUCUCUUCUUCCAAGCGGACACUUAACCACAAAUAUCUCACCACAUGCAUGAUCUCCACCUACUUUUUUCCUCCCAACUAGAUACUUUGUGAUUAGCAUUGGAUGGCUCACCCGCAUCAUGUCCGCGAACCACGACCAGACAUAAAAAUGGACAUAUGCCAGAGAUAUUUGCCGGUCAGAGGUUGAGAUGCCCUAAUAAUCUGACCAAUGUUUCUUUCCAUCUACUAUACAUGCCUCUGUCUUUGAAGUCCUCUCUACAUUCUUUUUGCCUUGUAGAGCUCAACUCUCACCGCACAUGCACAUUCUGCCACAUGGAUGAGGUUCUUGUGGCCAUUUUCCUCCAUGUACAUAAAUCCGGUGUUUGUUCGUGUUUGUCAGGAUAAAAAUUUGGCAUCCGCAUGUUGCAUAAAAAUUUGGGUUCUUGUCAUUCAUCGUGACUUGGUAGUCUACUUGCCUAGUUCGGGUAUCAAAAUCAACAUAUCACUAUAGCAUAAGUAUGAAAUAAAUGAGACUUUGGAAUCAUUCCACUGAUAUGAUAUUAAGGAGUUCUUGUGUAUGUUCUGGUAGUCUUCUAGCCACGUUGUGUUAACAUUUUAUCCAAAGCUCGUGAAGACUUGGUGGUGUACGUGGAAAGUUCAGGUUUAAGGAUUAAAACGUCGCCAUGGUGUAAUAAUGGAAAACAAUGAGCUUUAUGUGCUACUGAUAAGGUUUUACAGUUUUCUAGCUCAGUCGCCAUGGCAUAAUAAUGGAAAACAAUGAGCUUUCUACAAUGCAUCUGUAUUUUUAUUGUAUGUCCAGUACAGUCUCCCUUUGCGUCUGUACGGAAGGCAUUCUACAGUUGUUUGGUGUUUUUGCAAAGAGGUAUGAAUUGACACAUGGUUUCAAA